RNAcentral lists this ribosomal RNA (253 nucleotides) under uncultured bacterium. Its description in RNAcentral is "partial 16S ribosomal RNA". It matches the Rfam family "Bacterial small subunit ribosomal RNA", at positions 524 to 776 of the family's 1533-position model. The record is from RNAcentral.
GACAGGGGGCGCAAACGUUGUUCGGAAUCACUGGGCAUAAAGCGCACGUAGGCGGCUGACUAAGUCAGAUGUGAAAGCCCCCGGCUCAACCGGGGAACAGCACCUGAUACUGGUCGGCUCGAGGACGGUAGGGGUGAGUGGAACUCCAGGUGGAGCGGUGAAAUGCGUAGAUAUCUGGAGGAACACCGGUGGCGAAAGCGGCUCACUGGACCGUCUCUGACGCUGAGGUGCGAAAGCUAGGGGAGCAAACGGG